GUUAAUAAAUUUAUUUUGAAAUAAUUUUACAUUUAGAGAAGAGUUGGGAAGAUAAUACAGAGAGCUCCUUUAUACUCUUUACCUAGCUACCCCUAAUGUUAACAUCUUACACAACCAGCUACAUUUAACAAAACUAAGAAAUCAACAUUGGUAUCAUACUAUGAACUAAACUACAGACUUCUUUAAGAUUUCAUCGGUUUUUCCCACAGUAGGCUACUGGUGGCUAUGAUUUUCCAAUAGGAAUACCUCUGAGCCACAAGUUGAAAGGAAGCACCUGUUUGAUAAUGUCAAAAAUGAGCCUCAGGUGUCAGUAUUCAACCAUCAGGUCAGGAAGCCAGUUUAUAUAAAGAGAGUAGCCAAGCAUCAUUUAAGAUGUCUGGAUGUCGUCAAGGUGUGUCAGAAGUAAGAGGUGAAUACAAGCCUCUUGGAGCUAUUAACUCUACUUGAAGCAGGAUUCCAAGGAGACAACACCGAGAGUGGCAGCACAGCGUAGCAGUUCAGAACCACUGAUGGAUGCUGGAGCUACAUGGCUGGCUUCAAAUCACAGCUGGAUAUUGCUUACUGGAUGUGUGAUGUUGGGCAGCAACUUGACUCAUUUAAUCUUCACAACAGCCCUAUGAAGAAACAAUUCCUCCAUAACAGAAGGCAGCAUCAGCCACAGCCUAUCCUGAAGAGCACUAAUGUCAAGAGGAAGAAGAACAGUGCAAAGGAAAGGAUGCUGUAGAGGCUUUGAGAGCAGUCUGGUUUUCAAUAUAUGCCUGUUACGGGUUGAAUUGUGUCCCUCCCAAAUUCAUACGUUGAAGUCCCAGCUCCUAGUACCUCAGAAUGUGACCUUAUUUGGAGAUUUGGACGAGACUGUGAACUGGAUAACAACUUACCCAUCUGCAGUAGUGUGCCCUGCUGCUGUUUUCCAAUGGCAACUGAGACAUCCCUUUGAUAAUAUAGCUCCUGGAUCUUUUUCUUAUUCUAACUCUUCUAGCUAUUCAAGAAAUUAAUCAGUUAAAGUUCAAAGGAUUUCCCAAGUUGAAGACCCUUAAGCUAGAAAAAGGCAAUAAGCCCAAGCAACUACUGUGAGACUUGACAUGUGUCCCUCAGCAAACUUUACAUUACACAGGACUAUUUAUUGCCUUAAACAAUGAAGAUAGAAGGAAGAAAACAAUGUGCUGAAGAUAGAUAUAUAGCUUAUUCCUCUGUGUGAGGAUAGAUUUAACUUGCUCCUGGACUGGGAUAACUCUAUGCCUGUCUACAGGGAUGCCUGAAACUCUGGUAGUGACUGUUGGCUAAGAUAAGGAUAAUAUGUGCUAGUUAAUGAUUUAUAAUAUGCUAUUUGAAGCUCAAAAUUUUCUUGGAGACAUCCUGUACUGGCUUGUUUACCUUGGUUAGGGAUCUAUAGAUUGAAGGUUUGCACCUGGUUUCAUUGUUCACAUGGUCUGGUUUUAGGUGUGACCAGAGGAGUAUUAAAGAUCUCUCAGUGAACCUGUGUCUCAGCUUCAUUGGAACUAAGAUACCUUGAAUAUAUCUUAGUGGGCCAUAAUCUGAAUGCAAAGCAUAUUCUCUGUAACUGAGAAAGGACUCUGAGAGGUGCUCCUGGACAUAUCAAAACCCUCAAUGAUUGACUAUACUUUCUUUCACCUGCUGUACUUACCUUUAUUAAAGCCUUAUGUUGUAAGUCCUUUCAAUUUUCUGACCCUGUGUGAUUGUUAUACCCUUAAACCCUAGAUGGAAACCUGAGAACUUGGUCCCUUCCUAAAAUUUACCUUGAAAGGUAAAGCAAGCACUAGUCCUGGAGACUGAAAAUUGCAAAGAAAAUGGUAAAGUAGUAGGGGCCCCAAUCUUUGUUGGGUUUUAAGACAAACUCAAAGCCUGGAUAAGAAACAAUAAAGAUAUCUGUGGAAUCCUGGAUCUUAGUUCUAGGUGUAAGUGGAGGGAAAUUGAGGAGUAACACAGGUAUAGAAUAGACACUAUUGGGUCAUCAGAUCCCAGUCUCUCCGCCUCUGUCAGUAACAUAACUCCAGAUAGGGGUGGGGAUUGAGCCUGCAGGUGAAAUUAAAACAGGUCUGACAGUUUUUUCUACUGGUUCACUUGACUUCUAUUCUUCUAGAGACUGUUUCUGGGGCCAAAAGCAUUACAGGAUAUAAGGGAGUAAAAGCUAGAGCCUAAUGAAAAUUGCACAAUUAAAUCAAGGUCAUCUGCCAAAGACAC
This 2202-nucleotide long non-coding RNA is filed under the name Equus caballus (horse). RNAcentral describes it as "lncRNA (ENSECAG00000057616.1)". Lineage: Eukaryota; Metazoa; Chordata; Mammalia; Perissodactyla; Equidae. The record is from RNAcentral.